CCGUUGCCUUUUUGGCUCAGG
RNAcentral lists this small RNA (21 nucleotides) under Karenia brevis. Its description in RNAcentral is "trans-spliced leader sequence SL". Lineage: Eukaryota; Dinophyceae; Gymnodiniales; Kareniaceae. The record is from RNAcentral.